Molecule: ribosomal RNA, 468 nt
Filed under: uncultured bacterium
Lineage: Bacteria
Description: partial 16S ribosomal RNA
Rfam family: Bacterial small subunit ribosomal RNA
Source: RNAcentral
GACGAACGCUGGCGGCGUGCUUAACACAUGCAAGUCGAACGGAAAGGCCCUGCUUUUGUGGGGUGCUCGAGUGGCGAACGGGUGAGUAACACGUGAGUAACCUGCCCUUGACUUUGGGAUAACUUCAGGAAACUGGGGCUACUCCCGUAUAGGAGCUCCUGCUGCAUUGUGGGGGUUGGAACGUUUCGGCGGUUGGGGAUGGACUCGCGGCUUAUGAGCUUGUUGGUGGGGUAGUGGCUUACCCAGGCUUUGACGGGUAGCCGGCCUGAGAGGGUGACCGGCCACAUUGGGACUGAGAUACGGCCCAGACUCCUACGGGAGGCAGCAGUGGGGAAUAUUGCACAAUGGGCGGAAGCCUGAUGCAGCAACGCCGCGUGCGGGAUGACGGCCUUCGGGUUGUAAACCGCUUUCGCCUGUGACGAAGCGUGAGUGACGGUAAUGGGUAAAGAAGCACCGGCUAACUACGUG